This 219-nucleotide ribosomal RNA is filed under the name uncultured bacterium. Its description in RNAcentral is "partial 16S ribosomal RNA". It matches the Rfam family "Bacterial small subunit ribosomal RNA", at positions 118 to 334 of the family's 1533-position model. The record is from RNAcentral.
UAAGUAAUCUACCUUUGAGUGGGGAAUAACAGUCGGAAACGACUGCUAAUACCGCAUAAUGCAGCGGCACCGCAAGGUGACAGUUGUUAAAGCAUUUAUGCGCUUAAAGAGGAGCUUGCGGCAGAUUAGCUAGUUGGUAAGGUAAUGGCUUACCAAGGCAACGAUCUGUAUCCGGUCUAAGAGGACGGUCGGACACACUGACACUGAAUAACGGGUCAG